This 3227-nucleotide long non-coding RNA is filed under the name Homo sapiens (human). Its description in RNAcentral is "PREDICTED lncRNA (TCONS_00178162)". The record is from RNAcentral. Lineage: Eukaryota; Metazoa; Chordata; Mammalia; Primates; Hominidae.
CCCCCAACAGGCGAGAAGCAGCCGCGUCCACAUGGCUUCAGGUGUUCACAUGGCAGUAAACGGGCCCCUGCUCUCCUGGGCGCCCCAGCGCGGCGCCCUCCCGCCCACAUCCCGGCCCAGCCCCGCUGGCCUCGCCUCCAGCCCGUAGCCAAGAGGCGAGCGCGGCCGGUGCCCCCGGGGCUGCCAGGGGCCCCGAAGCAGGCGGCGCUGACUCCCGGACGCCGCCCGCUCACACCCGCCGCCUUUGCACCCAAGGCCUCGCGCGACCAGCAGGUCACUGAUUCUACUACCAUCUGUCAGCGUGGAUUGAUUGAGGAGACUGGCCCUGCUCGGCAGAUCAGUGACUUGUGCGAAGUGAGCCAGGGUGUCGGUGCCUUCAGAGCAGGCGGAUGUCCUUCCUCACUUGCCAGCUCUCGUGAGCAGACACACAGCCCUCACCUUUAUCCUUCACCAAGCUCCAGCUCUCCUUCCUCUUGGGAGGCGCCGCCUGCUAACUCAGUCACACCAAGAGGGAGGCCUGGAAUUCCUGCUCACAAGCUCGGGGCUUCAUCUGCAGUCUGCCAGGAGGCAACUUACAAAAGCCUCUGGCUAACAGAGCGGGAAACUCCCCACAGCCUCCUGCUGUGCCUGUCCCCAAGCCACGCACUGUCCCCUUGCAAAGCACAAGGAUACUGAGAGUGCACAAACAGCAGGGGUGGAGAGCCUCUGUGGGCACGCCCUCAUUCUGUGCCCUCAUUCCACAGGAGCCCCUGCUUUGUGCAAGUCUCUGAGCCCGCAUGGAGGGAGCAUGGGGGCUCAGAACAGUUCUUUCUGGGGCAAGGUCAGGGGAGGCUCUAAAGUUAUGGUGGUGGGGAGGGCCUUAAAACAGAGGACCAGAGAAUACCAAGACUUAGGGGUGUGGGGGAGAGCCACCUGCUGUGCCCAGGAGGACUGUGCCCAGUGCAGGGGAAAAAGAUGAAGCUGCGGAGUUGGGCAAGGGUGGGAUCCUGCAGGGCCUUAGAGCAUUGACAUGUUUGGCAUGGAUUUGUUUCACAGGGUCCCACAGAAACUUCUGCUCUCCAGGUUUGCCCCUCCACUCUGCCCUCCAGGAUAGAAGUGUGGCAUCCUAAUCUGGGAUGCAUCCAUCUCUCCCCCUGGACUGUGAGCAUAUGCAGGGCAGAGACACCUCUGCUUCUCUUGGGUCUCCGGCAUCCUGUGCAGGAUGGGGCCACUGAGGUGCAAAGAGUUUAACUUAUCCCAAGUCACACAGUUUGGAAGAGGCUGAGCUGGUAUUUGAACCCAGGUUUUCAGAGGCUGCACUCUUAACCACCAAGCUUCCCAGCACUCAGCAAACACUGGAAAGACAGAGAUGGACCUAGACAGUCAGUAGGACCAAAAGUCUGCAGGCCGAUAGGGAAAGAAUGUAAGAGGACGGCAUGGGCAGCGCCAGCCCCUCCAGCAGUCAUAUAUUAAGCCCUGGACACUGGGCAGCUCGGGCAGGUCGGGGGGCCUCAGACUCUCGGACCCCAUGCCUGGAAGACCACGGUCUGCCCAACAAGCAGCAGCUGCUGUGAAUCGACUUACACAUCUUCCCCACAGGUGAGCAGAGAGCUAACACCUGAGGAUAGGCCAAGAAACGGGAAGCCCGUGCAACCUGAGCGCACAGAUCACCCCCACCUGCCCGGCACUCACUGUCCCCAGUGGCUGGACUCUCAUCGGGCCAGUCACUGAGCUGGCGCCAGCCUGGUCUCACCAGUGUGUGUCUUUAAAUCAUCCAAUUUCUUCAGCUGUAAAUUGGGCUGGGAGGGGCCAGGUGAGCUGCCUGCCUCAGGGGAGUCGGCGCCCUUACCUGAGUGAUCCCAUUCACUCCUCACAACAAACCCAUGAGGCAGGGAUUGUCAUCUUCAUUGUACAGAGCAGGAAAUGGGUGCACACAGAGGUUAAGAGACUUGCCCAGGUCACACAGCUAGGAAGAGGCUGUGAUUUGAACUCAGUCUUCUGGCUCCAAAGCCCCCACAGAGUCACUCAGGGCACUACAAAGAGUUAACCUGAAUAUGAAAUGAUCUAAGAGUCGCAGUGACAAAGGCAUGCUCUAAGCGCUUUUCCUGCAGUAACUUGCUUAAUCCUUACAACAACCCUAUAAAGUGGGUACUGUUCUCGCCUCAUUUUGCAGAUGAGGAAACUGAGGCACAGAGCAGCUCGGAGGGGGCAGAGCUGAAUCUGACAGGCUACAGGGCCCCUGCGUUGCUUUGUUAUAAGAUGACAAUAAGGAAGUUCCUUUCCUUUGGGAUUAUUUCUGCCUGAAAGCUCAAGACUUUUAGCCACAUCAUUGUCUGGGCUCCACGGGAAGGCAGUGCCACAUGCUGAGGCAUGCUGGGAAAAGACUUUGUUCCAUCCUGUUUUGUUGACAUGCUCUUCAUUUUUAAGCCUGAAACCGAAGCUUCCUGCUAAGAAUUCAAACCAUGGAGAAAAACGCAGCCAUGAUAACGGCCACUACUUCCUGAGCCUCCAGUGUUCCCUGUGCUUGGGGAUCCAUAUAUGUCACUUAACCUUAACCUUCACAACACCAGGGCAGCCUCCAUUUUCACAAGUGAAGAAAUGGAGGCCCAGAGUCACUUAGAAGAUGCUCGAAGGUGCACAGCUGCUAAGUGGUGGUGCUGGGAUUUGUCCUCAGGUCCUCAAGAGUCCUGACUCUUAUGUGCUGGCUCCCCACGGAGGCGUGGAGUCUUGUUUGCUGGGCAUUUGACAGAAAUGUUUCUGCUCAUCUUCUGCCACAGUGACUCGGGGAUAGCUGCCCUGAUGCCAAGGCGAUUGUCUUCUGGAAGCAGCCACGCCGUGUGAGGUUCCUCAUCACUGCCCUGCAUCUCCCUGCGAGCUCUCGGGGAUAAUUGCAAAAUCACGUUUGAUUCCAGGGGAGCAGAAAGCAGCAGGAGCCGUGAAUUCUCCAACUCUUAACUGGUCCUCGACUGGAGCCACUUUUCCCUGCCCACCCAUCCCUGUGGCGGAUUCAUUACAGUUAUCCAAAGCCGGUUUUAACUUUGCUCCCCCUGGCUCAGAAGUCUGUCAGUGGGUCCUGAGCGGCUUCACCAUUCAAGUUUAUUCCUAUCAGCCUGGAAUACAAUGCUCUAUCUGGCUCCGCUUGCUUCUCCAAACCUUCUCUCCCAGGUCUCAUUCUGCCUCUCUGUCUAACUAGACAAGUUGGCUUCCUGUCCUGUGCCUGUCUGCUCCCUGCAGCAGGAAUGCCGUUC